AACGCACAUUGCGCCCCUUGGUAUUCCAUGGGGCAUGCCUGUUCGAGCGUCAUUUUGUACCCUCAAGCACUGCUUGGUGUUGGGCGUUUGUCCUGCAAAGGACUCGCCUGAAAGCGAUUGGCGGCCAACGUAUCGGUGGCAGAGCGCAGCACAAUCUCGCGUCUCUCCCCUCUACGUCGGCAUCCAUAAGCCUUUUUUCAACGUUUGACCUCGGAUCAGGUAGGGAUACCCGCUGAACUUAA
This 242-nucleotide unclassified non-coding RNA is filed under the name uncultured fungus. Its description in RNAcentral is "partial contains 5.8S ribosomal RNA, internal transcribed spacer 2, and large subunit ribosomal RNA". The record is from RNAcentral. Lineage: Eukaryota; Fungi.